UACGUUCCCGGACCUUGUACACACCGCCCGUCAAGCCAUGGGAGUUGGGAGGACCUGAAGACAGUUGCUGUAAGGCGCUGUUUAGGGUUAAACCAAUGACUGGGGCU
This 107-nucleotide ribosomal RNA is filed under the name uncultured bacterium. RNAcentral describes it as "partial 16S ribosomal RNA". It matches the Rfam family "Bacterial small subunit ribosomal RNA", at positions 1367 to 1482 of the family's 1533-position model. The record is from RNAcentral.